GAUGAACGCUAGCGGCAGGCUUAACACAUGCAAGUCGAGGGGUAUAGUUCUUCGGAACUAGAGACCGGCGCACGGGUGCGUAACGCGUAUGCAAUCUACCUUUCACAAAGGGAUAGCCCAGAGAAAUUUGGAUUAAUACCUUAUAGUAAUACGACUUGGCAUCAAGAUGUAUUUAAAGAUUUAUCGGUGAAAGAUGAGCAUGCGUCCCAUUAGCUUGUUGGUAAGGUAACGGCUUACCAAGGCAACGAUGGGUAGGGGUCCUGAGAGGGGGAUCCCCCACACUGGUACUGAGACACGGACCAGACUCCUACGGGAGGCAGCAGUGAGGAAUAUUGGACAAUGGGCGCAAGCCUGAUCCAGCCAUGCCGCGUGCAGGAAUAAGGUCCUAUGGAUUGUAAACUGCUUUAUACAGGAAGAAACCANACCCUCGUGAGGGUACUUGACGGUACUGUAUGAAUAAGGACCGGCUAAUCCGUGCCAGCA
This 483-nucleotide ribosomal RNA is filed under the name uncultured bacterium. RNAcentral's name for it is "bacterial SSU rRNA". It matches the Rfam family "Bacterial small subunit ribosomal RNA", at positions 28 to 513 of the family's 1533-position model. The record is from RNAcentral.